UUCGGGGUACUCGAGUGGCGAACGGGUGAGUAACACGUGGGUGAUCUGCCCUGCACUUUGGGAUAAGCCUGGGAAACUGGGUCUAAUACCGAAUAGGACCACGCGCUUCAUGGUGUGUGGUGGAAAGCUUUUGCGGUGUGGGAUGGGCCCGCGGCCUAUCAGCUUGUUGGUGGGGUAAUGGCCUACCAAGGCGACGACGGGUAGCCGGCCUGAGAGGGUGACCGGCCACACUGGGACUGAGAUACGGCCCAGACUCCUACGGGAGGCAGCAGUGGGGAAUAUUGCACAAUGGGCGCAAGCCUGAUGCAGCGACGCCGCGUGAGGGAUGACGGCCUUCGGGUUGUAAACCUCUUUCAAUAGGGACGAAGCGNGAGUGACGGUACCUAUAGAAGAAGCACCGGCCAACUACGUGCCAGCAGCCGCGGUAAUACGUAGGGUGCGAGCGUUGUCCGGAAUUACUGGGCGUAAAGAGCUCGUAGGUGGUUUGUCGCGUUGUUCGUGAAAACUCACAGCUUAACUGUGGGCGUGCGGGCGAUACGGGCAGACUAGAGUACUGCAGGGGAGACUGGAAUUCCUGGUGUAGCGGUGGAAUGCGCAGAUAUCAGGAGGAACACCGGUGGCGAANGCGGGUCUCUGGGCAGUAACUGACGCUGANGAGCGAAAGCGUGGGGAGCGAACAGGAUUAGAUACCCUGGUAGUCCACGCCGUAAACGGUGGGUACUANGUGUGGGUUCCUUCCUUGGGAUCCGUGCCGUANCUAACGCAUUAAGUACCCCGCCUGGNAGUACGGNCGCAAGGCUAAAACUCAAAGGAAUUGACGGGGGCCCGCACAAGCGGCGGANCAUGUGNAUUAAUUCGAUGCAACGCGAAGAACCUUACCUGGGUUUGACAUGCACAGGACGCCGGCNNANAUGUCGGUUCCCUUGNNGNCCUGUGUGCNNNUGNGCAUGGCUGUCGUCAGCUCGUGUCNNGANANGUUGNUUAAGUCCCGCAACNNNCGCANCCCUUGUCCUAUGUUGCCA
Molecule: ribosomal RNA, 1022 nt
Filed under: Mycolicibacterium mucogenicum
Lineage: Bacteria; Bacillati; Actinomycetota; Actinomycetes; Mycobacteriales; Mycobacteriaceae
Description: partial 16S ribosomal RNA
Rfam family: Bacterial small subunit ribosomal RNA
Source: RNAcentral